This 245-nucleotide ribosomal RNA is filed under the name uncultured Syntrophobacter sp. RNAcentral describes it as "partial 16S ribosomal RNA". It matches the Rfam family "Bacterial small subunit ribosomal RNA", at positions 524 to 768 of the family's 1533-position model. The record is from RNAcentral. Lineage: Bacteria; Pseudomonadati; Thermodesulfobacteriota; Syntrophobacteria; Syntrophobacterales; Syntrophobacteraceae.
UACGGAGGGUGCGAGCGUUAUUCGGAAUUACUGGGCGUAAAGCGCGUGCAGGCGGGUGGAAAAGUCUGAUGUGAAAGCCCCGGGCUCAACCUGGGAAGUGCAUUGGAAACUGUUCAUCUUGAGUGCUGGAGAGGAAGGGGGAAUUCCCGGUGUAGAGGUGAAAUUCGUAGAGAUCGGGAGGAAUACCAGUGGCGAAGGCGCCCUUCUGGACGGCAACUGACGCUGAGACGCGAAAGCGUGGGGAG